GAUGCAGCGACGCCGCGUGCGGGAUGAAGGCCUUCGGGUUGUAAACCGCUUUCAGCAGGGACGAGGCGAAAGUGACGGUACCUGCAGAAGAAGCCCCGGCUAACUACGUGCCAGCAGCCGCGGUAAUACGUAGGGGGCAAGCGUUACCCGGAUUCAUUGGGCGUAAAGCGCGCGUAGGCUGCCCAGUAGGUCGAGAGUUAAAUCCGGGGGCUCAACCCCCGUCCGCUCCCGAUACCGCUGGGAUUCGAGUCUGGUAGGGGAAGGUGGAAUUCCCAGUGUAGCGGUGGAAUGCGCAGAUAUUGGGAAGAACACCGGUGGCGAAGGCGGCCUUCUGGGCCAUGACUGACGCUGAGGCGCGAAAGCUAGGGGAGCGAACAGGAUUAGAUACCCUGGUAGUCCUAGCCGUAAACGAUGGGCACUAGGUGUGGGGAGGCUUUACUUUCCGUGCCGACGCUAACGCAUUAAGUGCCCCGCCUGGGGAGUACGGCCGCAAGGCUAAAACUCAAAGGAAUUGACGGGGGCCCGCACAAGCAGCGGAGCAUGUGGCUUAAUUCGAAGCA
RNAcentral lists this ribosomal RNA (560 nucleotides) under Atopobium sp. oral taxon 416. Its description in RNAcentral is "bacterial SSU rRNA". It matches the Rfam family "Bacterial small subunit ribosomal RNA", at positions 385 to 958 of the family's 1533-position model. Lineage: Bacteria; Bacillati; Actinomycetota; Coriobacteriia; Coriobacteriales; Atopobiaceae. The record is from RNAcentral.